GGAGGUCACGAGGGGGAGGUGAUCCUGCGUGAGGGGGAGGUGGGCAGCCCAACUAAUGGGCCCAAUUAUGAUGACGUGACCUGUUUUUAAAUAGUGGAGGUAGUUAUUGGUGUUCUGCUGUGGGUUGAUAUAUUUUUGAGAAAGAAAAUUUUGGAAUAGCCCUCAAUACAUCAUUUUGGAGAAGAAUUUUUUGAAAAACUCUUGGAGUUGAGCCACUAAUAAUGCAACAAGAAUCAUAACAAAACUUAAG
This 250-nucleotide long non-coding RNA is filed under the name Setaria viridis. Its description in RNAcentral is "long non-coding RNA (SVIR_LNC001895)". The record is from RNAcentral. Lineage: Eukaryota; Viridiplantae; Streptophyta; Magnoliopsida; Poales; Poaceae.